UGGGGAAUAUUGGACAAUGGGCGCAAGCCUGAUCCAGCCAUGCCGCGUGUGUGAAGAAGGCCUUAUGGUUGUAAAGCACUUUAAGCGAGGAGGAGGCUACUUUAGUUAAUACCUAGAGAUAGUGGACGUUACUCGCAGAAUAAGCACCGGCUAACUCUGUGCCAGCAGCCGCGGUAAUACAGAGGGUGCAAGCGUUAAUCGGAAUUACUGGGCGUAAAGCGCGCGUAGGUGGUUCGUUAAGUUGAAUGUGAAAGCCCCGGGCUCAACCUGGGAACUGCAUCCAAAACUGGCGAGCUAGAGUAGGGCAGAGGGUGGUGGAAUUUCCUGUGUAGCGGUGAAAUGCGUAGAUAUAGGAAGGAACACCAGUGGCGAAGGCGACCACCUGGGCUCAUACUGACACUGAGGUGCGAAAGCGUGGGGAGCAAACAGG
This 430-nucleotide ribosomal RNA is filed under the name Pseudomonadota bacterium. Its description in RNAcentral is "Proteobacteria bacterium partial 16S ribosomal RNA". It matches the Rfam family "Bacterial small subunit ribosomal RNA", at positions 355 to 776 of the family's 1533-position model. Lineage: Bacteria; Pseudomonadati; Pseudomonadota. The record is from RNAcentral.